This 369-nucleotide ribosomal RNA is filed under the name Triticum aestivum (bread wheat). Its description in RNAcentral is "partial small subunit ribosomal RNA". The record is from RNAcentral. Lineage: Eukaryota; Viridiplantae; Streptophyta; Magnoliopsida; Poales; Poaceae.
AUGAUUGCCGUGGUGGAUGACAGCCAAGGCCCACCAACCAGCGCGGAUGGAAAGGAGAUAAGGCCAGCUGACAUGGAAAGCAAGCCGGGUGGAGAAGACGACCUGGCCCUACGUGAGUACUACGGGCAGCUGUGGGGACCUCUCAACCCUGAUCCUCCUCCCCUCCUUGUUUGGAUCAGGAGAGAUUUAACCCUAGCCCGCUCGUUCGCCGCCGCCGACUGCCACCCAAUAUCUGGUGACGAUCCCACCACCCUCCCCACUCCCACCAUCCUUAAAGGUUUGGAUCCAAAGCUACGCGAGGAAAUCAAUCAGGAUCAUGGCGGAAGCGCAGGGGUGAGGGCGUGGCCGCGGGAGGGGUGGAAACCCUAG